AAAAAACAUGGCUUUACGCUUUAAAAUCAUGUAAAGUCGGACCUGCCCAGUGAGCAUUUUCAACGGCCGCGGUACUCUGACCGUGCAAAGGUAGCAUAAUCAUUUGCCUUAUAAUUAAAGGCUAGAAUGAAUGGUUUGACGAAAAUAUAGCUGUCUCUUUAUAAUUUGAUAGAAUUUUAUUUUGGGAUGAAAAAGUCCUAGUAUAAUUAAAAGACAAGAAGACCCUAUCGAGCUUUAAAAAAAUUAGUAAAAUUAAAUUAAUUUGUUUAAAAAAUCAAUUACUAAAAAUUUUGGUUGGGGCAACCAAGGAGAAUUCAAAGCCUCCUUUACAAAAAAGGCUUACCAGCUUUGAUCCAAUAAUAUUGAUUAAAGAAAUUAGUUACCGUAGGGAUAACAGCAUUAUCUUUUUUAAGAGUUCAUAUCGAAAAAAAGGUUUGUGACCUCGAUGUUGGACCAGAAUAUCCUAAAGGUGCAGAAGCCUUUAAAGGUUGGUCUGUUCGACCAUUAAAAUUCUACGUGAUCUGAGUCAAAACC
Molecule: ribosomal RNA, 534 nt
Filed under: Turridae gen. sp. NP-2011
Lineage: Eukaryota; Metazoa; Mollusca; Gastropoda; Neogastropoda; Turridae
Description: partial 16S ribosomal RNA
Rfam family: Bacterial large subunit ribosomal RNA
Source: RNAcentral